GGGGAUGUUCAAAAUCGAUAGGAUGAUGAGCCCACGCUACUCGAACCGAGCGUUGGUGAUUUGCUCGUAAAUCUCAACCGCCAAUUCAAUAAGUGCCAAAUCACUUGUUGCUAAGGUCAAAGCUGCAUUCAGCUCACUGACUUUAGUACCCGCUUUGGCCUAACAGCGCCAAAGCCAUCAGCCCGGUGACGUCUCAUAGCCGGUCCCUGGUGUCACCCAUGAGACUCGACGAACGGUCCGCCUCGCCCGCGCGUCUAAACUACCGAGGCUGCGGCUGGCAGCAUCUUGUUGGUUUCUAACCUGCCGGCUCAAGACGUGAAACCAACUACGUUCGUAGCGGUAGUUUGAGCUCCAUGCUAGACAGGGGUGUGAGUCCCCUCAUCUCCACCA
Candidatus Buchananbacteria bacterium is the source of this 390-nucleotide non-coding RNA. Lineage: Bacteria; Candidatus Buchananiibacteriota. The record is from Rfam.